UACGUAGGUGGCAAGCGUUGUCCGGGUUUACUGGGUGUAAAGGGCGUGUAGCCGGGCUUACAAGUCAGAUGUGAAAUCCGGGGGCUCAACCCCCGAACUGCAUUUGAAACUGUAGGUCUUGAGUAUCGGAGAGGCAGGCGGAAUUCCUAGUGUAGCGGUGAAAUGCGUAGAUAUUAGGAGGAACACCAGUGGCGAAGGCGGCCUGCUGGACGACAACUGACGGUGAGGCGCGAAAGCGUGGGGAGCGAACAGG
Molecule: ribosomal RNA, 253 nt
Filed under: uncultured bacterium
Lineage: Bacteria
Description: partial 16S ribosomal RNA
Rfam family: Bacterial small subunit ribosomal RNA
Source: RNAcentral